AUUGAACGCUGGCGGCAUGCCUUACACAUGCAAGUCGAACGGCAGCACGGGUGCUUGCACCUGGUGGCGAGUGGCGAACGGGUGAGUAAUACAUCGGAACGUACCUUAUCGUGGGGGAUAACGCAGCGAAAGCUGUGCUAAUACCGCAUACGCCCUGAGGGGGAAAGCGGGGGAUCGCAAGACCUCGCGCGAUUAGAGCGGCCGAUGCCUGAUUAGCUUGUUGGUGGGGUAAAAGCCCACCAAGGCGACGAUCAGUAGCUGGUCUGAGAGGAAGAUGAGACACACGGGGAGUGAGACGGGGCACAGACUCCUACGGGGGGGAGCAGUGGGGAAUUUUGGAAAAUGGGGGCAACCCUGAUCGAGCAGUGCCGCGUGAGUGAAGAAGGCCUUCGGGUUGUAAAACUCUUUGGUCAGGGAAGAAAAACCGGCUCUAACACAGUCCGGGAAUGACGGUACCUGAAGAAUAAGCACCGGCUAACUACGUGCCAGCAGCCGCCGUAA
Molecule: ribosomal RNA, 501 nt
Filed under: uncultured bacterium
Lineage: Bacteria
Description: partial 16S ribosomal RNA
Rfam family: Bacterial small subunit ribosomal RNA
Source: RNAcentral